ACGUGGGCUCAAAAUGGUUUGACUCAGCCAUGUUGUCUUUUUAAAAUAAAAAAGAAAUUAGAUGUAAUUUAUUCAAUUUAAGGGGUUGUUAUACCCGAUAUCUGUGGCUUUUGCCCAGGAUCUAUGUUUAUUAUUGUGUCGUUUAGCAAUUGCUCUUCUAUGAAGGUUUUAUAAGAGGACGAUUGAUUAAGAAACCAAGGAAUAUAGAAGCAUGUCCAUAAGCAAAUAUAAUAUGCCAGAUAUUCGUUGAAGAAACUAUUGCAAAAAAUAACAGAAAUCGGUAGGGCAUAUUAAAAUCAAUGAAUAUAAACGACGUGUCAGAGAAGAACGGGCCACAGGCAUGUUAGGUUAGGUUUAUAAUACAAAUAACAAUGAAGUGUGAAGUACCUGUGAACACAUUACGAUAAAAAAAGAAUGUGUGUGUACUUUGUACGGACGUAAGAAGCUAUACUUCUAUUAUAUGAUUUCUUAAAAAUAAAUAAACUUUAAACAGUU
Diabrotica virgifera virgifera (western corn rootworm) is the source of this 495-nucleotide long non-coding RNA. RefSeq lists it as uncharacterized. The record is from RefSeq and is a predicted model, not a curated record. The transcript has 2 exons. Lineage: Eukaryota; Metazoa; Arthropoda; Insecta; Coleoptera; Chrysomelidae.